AUUGAACGCUGGCGGCAUGCCUUACACAUGCAAGUCGAACGGCAGCACGGGUGCUUGCACCUGGUGGCGAGUGGCGAACGGGUGAGUAAUACAUCGGAACAUGUCCUGUAGUGGGGGAUAGCCCGGCGAAAGCCGGAUUAAUACCGCAUACGAUCUACGGAUGAAAGCGGGGGACCUUCGGGCCUCGCGCUAUAGGGUUGGCCGAUGGCUGAUUAGCUAGUUGGUGGGGAAAAGGCCUACCAAGGCGACGAUCAGUAGCUGGUCUGAGAGGACGACCAGCCACACUGGGACUGAGACACGGCCCAGACUCCUACGGGAGGCAGCAGUGGGGAAUUUUGGACAAUGGGCGAAAGCCUGAUCCAGCAAUGCCGCGUGUGUGAAGAAGGCCUUCGGGUUGUAAAGCACUUUUGUCCGGAAAGAAAUCCUUGGCCCUAAUACGGUCGGGGGAUGACGGUACCGGAAGAAUAAGCACCGGCUAACUACGUG
RNAcentral lists this ribosomal RNA (486 nucleotides) under uncultured bacterium. RNAcentral's name for it is "partial 16S ribosomal RNA". It matches the Rfam family "Bacterial small subunit ribosomal RNA", at positions 30 to 507 of the family's 1533-position model. The record is from RNAcentral.